GAUGAACGCUGGCGGCGUGCCUAAUACAUGCAAGUCGAGCGAACAGACGAGGAGCUUGCUCCUCUGACGUUAGCGGCGGACGGGUGAGUAACACAUGGAUAACCUACCUAUAAGACUGGGAUAACUUCGGGAAACCGGAGCUAAUACCGGAUAAUAUAUUGAACCGCAUGGUUCAAUAGUGAAAGACGGUUUUGCUGUCACUUAUAGAUGGAUCCGCGCCGCAUUAGCUAGUUGGUAAGGUAACGGCUUACCAAGGCAACGAUGCGUGGCCGACCUGAGAGGGUGAUCGGCCACACUGGAACUGAGACACGGUCCAGACUCCUACGGGAGGCAGCAGUAGGGAAUCUUCCGCAAUGGGCGAAAGCCUGACGGAGCAACGCCGCGUGAGUGAUGAAGGUCUUUGGAUCGUAAAACUCUGUUAUUAGGGAAGAACAAAUGUGUAAGUAACUAUGCACGUCUUGACGGUACCUAAUCAGAAAGCCACGGCUAACUACGUG
This 497-nucleotide ribosomal RNA is filed under the name uncultured bacterium. RNAcentral's name for it is "partial 16S ribosomal RNA". It matches the Rfam family "Bacterial small subunit ribosomal RNA", at positions 28 to 507 of the family's 1533-position model. The record is from RNAcentral.